Molecule: ribosomal RNA, 445 nt
Filed under: uncultured bacterium
Lineage: Bacteria
Description: partial 16S ribosomal RNA
Rfam family: Bacterial small subunit ribosomal RNA
Source: RNAcentral
GUGAGGAAUAUUGGACAAUGGGCGCAAGCCUGAUCCAGCCAUGCCGCGUGCAGGAAGACGCAUCUAUGGUGUGUAAACUGCUUUUGUACGGGAAGAAACACUCCCUCGUGAGGGAGCUUGACGGUACCGUAAGAAUAAGGAUCGGCUAACUCCGUGCCAGCAGCCGCGGUAAUACGGAGGAUCCAAGCGUUAUCCGGAAUCAUUGGGUUUAAAGGGUCCGUAGGCGGUGUAAUAAGUCAGUGGUGAAAGCCCAUCGCUCAACGAUGGAACGGAGAGUGAUACUGUUAGACUUGAAUUACAAGGAAGUAACUAGAAUAGGUAGUGUAGCGGUGGUAUGCUUAGAUAUUACAGGGAAUACCAAUUGCGAAGGCAGGUUACUACUUGUGGAUUGACGCUGAUGGACGAAAGCGUGGGGAGCGAACAGGAUUAGAUACCCUUGUAGUCC